This 3109-nucleotide long non-coding RNA is filed under the name Lynx pardinus (Iberian lynx). The record is from RNAcentral. Lineage: Eukaryota; Metazoa; Chordata; Mammalia; Carnivora; Felidae.
UGAGAAACCACUCUUCUUUUUCUGUUUCUUAAACUACUUCCAUUCCCAGUUCAGACUGAGGUCUCCUCACCUGGGAAUGCAAAGCUUAGGGUUUCCAGUUCCCACUCACCAGCCAAGGAGAAGAUGCUGUUUUCACUCAAUUUCUCUAGUCUGAGAAGAGGUAAGACUUGAUAUGAUAGUAAGUUAAAGAAAGACAGCCAAAAUUGUAUGCACAUGGACAUUACUAACAUUUAAAAAUUAUUUUUAUUUUAAUCAUGAAAGUGACACAAGCGUAUUGCAAAAACUUUAGAGAAUACAGUAAGAAUAAUUUAUAUUUUAAUUAUUAUUUUCUUCUUGAUCUGUUCUUGUGCUCAGAAGUUUGUUGUUAUUGGUUAAAUAUAUUAUUCGUGCACACAGGAUAAAAUUCAAGUAGUAAAACAUCACUGUUCCCCUGCCAUCCGGUUCUUCUCCUGAAGGGAAUUGUUCAUAAUAUUCUUUUAUAAUCCUUUUUAUUUCUGUAAAAUCUGUAGUGAUGUUCUACUUUCUUUCCUGAUUUUGGUAAUGUGGUUUUUCUCACUUUAUAUUUCAGUCAACCUAAGUAAAGAUUUGUCAAUUUUGUUGAUCUUUUUUAAAGAACCAGCUUUUGGUGUUGAUUUUCUUCAUGUCGUUUUUCUAUUCUCUUGUUUUUGCCUCCGUGCCAUUGUUCUCUAUCUACUGCUAGCUGUGGACUCAGUUUGCUCUUCUUUUUCUAGUUCCUUAAGGUGUAAAAUCAGGUUGUUAAUUGACUUUGCCACUCUUUCUAAUAUACAUGUGUAUGUAUUAUUUUUAUUUUAUUUUAAUUAUCCUACGGUAUAAUUGAGUUUUUGCAAUGCUGUUUUAUGAAUUUUAGCAAAUAAACAGAUUUACAUAACUAAUGUCACAAUCAGGAUACAGAAGAUCUACUUAUUUUGUUAGUUACUGAGAAAUGAAUUGCAAAAUCUUCAGCUAUAAUUGUGAUGUGUGCAUUUAUUUCUUUCAUAAUUGUUACCAGCAGUUGUUGAUAUGAUAUAUAAAGUUACUUUCUCCUUUUGUAAUUAAUCAUAUUUUAUGGUGUUUUGAAACUAUGUAAAUAUUAUAUUUUCAUCAAAAUUUUAAUUUAUUCAUUGAUUUUAAAUUUUUAUUUUUUAUUUCAUUUUAGAGAGAAAAAGCACAUGAGUGGGGGAGAGGAGCACAGGGAGAGAGGGGGUGGGGGGAGAGAAAUCUUAAGCAGGCCCCAAGCUCAGAGCAGGGUCAGGCUUAAUUCUAUGACCCUGGAAUUAUGACCUGGAAUUAUGAGCUGAAAUCAAGAGUCAGACACUCAACCGAUGGAGCCACCUACAUGCCCCUGAUUUUUUAUUAAUAUAAAUUCAUAAUUUCAUAUUUUAUCUGAUGGGCUAUAGUCUGUUAAAAUAUCAUUAUUUAUUUUGCAGCUCACAUUACAUGCGAUUUCAUCACUAGAGCUUCUUCAAGCUUGCUCGAGUCCCUUUGAUAUGUCCCUGUCAUUCUUUGAGCACUUCCUUGUUUCUUGCACAAGAUGUUCCAGUCUCACUUGUAUUUUUCCAUGCCCCAAACUUGCAAUCAGCCAUUUCUCCAAGAAAUGGAGAAUGUUAUUUAGAACCAAGAUCUUGACACUAAGUAUAUUGAUUGUUUUUGGGUGUCAUUGCCCCUAAGCUCUUUUAUUUUUUAUUUUAUUUUAUUUUUAAGUAAACUCUAUGCCCAGUGUGGGAGUCAAACUCAUGACCCUGAGAUCAAAAAUCACAUGCUCUAGGGGUGCCUGGGUGGCUCAGUCGGUUGGGCGUCCAACUUCAGCUCAGGUCAUAAUCUCACCGUCCGUGGGUUCGAGCCCUGCAUCAGGUUCUGUGCUGACAGCUCGGAGCCUGGAACCUGCUCGGAGCCUGGAUUCUGUGUCUCCCUCUCUCUCUGCCCCUCCCCUGCUCAAGCUCUGUCUCUGUCUCUCUCAAAAAUAAAUAAAUAUUUUUUAAAAAUUUAAAAAAAAAUCACAUGCUCUACCAUCUGAGUGAGCCACGCACUCCUACCCCCAGGCCCUUUUAGUAGACACACUUAUUUAUAUUUAUAUUCAUUCCUACAUCGAUCCAUCAUCUAUUGAUCUACCUAUCAUCUAUCCAUGUACUGAAAACUAUGAUUUUGCACCAAUACCUCCAAUUUCAAUCCAACAUCACGGGUUUCAUUCCACUUUUCUACCUUUCCGUGUUUCUAACUCUAAUACUGGUAAGAAAAUCCAGGCUUCUAUUAUUCCUAAUACUAUUACUUAUUUUUUAUCAAUCUACUAGUUUGUAACCAAUCUCUUAUUCCUGUACCCCUCUCUCUCCUGUGCAGAUGCCCACCUUAUCCCACUUGAACUCCAACAGACACCUUGCACCAGGUUGCCCUACAUGGAGGCACUUUCACCCAGUUUUGCCUCUGACUUCUUGUGCCAUCAUUGCCUCCUGUGGGGACACUCUCCUCAUCCUCCUUUGGCAUUGAAAACCUGGUUUGAGCUGCUGCUUCUGAGGGAUACCCUUGUCACCUGGUGAGCAGAGAAGAGUUAAUAUAGCAGACCUGAGACUGCUCUCCAUAGAAGAGCCUGCUUGAAAGGUUGGCCUGUGGCUAGCGUCUGGUAACUUGGAUUUCAGGAGGGUUUCAGCAUUCCCGUGAGAAGGGUGGCUCACUGUGUCCCAACUGUUUGUAUAAAUAACAUGCUUUAUACUGAACAAACUGCUUUCCUUGUGGGUAUCUGGGAUUCUGGCUAGGCAUAGAGUGCCUAUAUGACCAACUUCCAACAAAAACUUUGGGCCCUGAGUCUCUAAUAGGCUUCCCUGGUAGACAACAUUUCAUACAUGUUGUCACAAUUUGUUGCUGGAGGAAUUAAGCAUGUUCUGUAUGACUCCACUGGGAGAGAGAACCCUCAGAAGCUUGUAUCUAGUGUCCUCUGGACUUUACCUCAUGUACCUUUCCUUUUGCUGAUUUUGGUUUGUAUCAUUUUGCUGUAAUAAAUCCUAGCCAUGAGUAUGACUAUGUGCUGGGUCCUGGUUAAUCAUUGAACCUGGGGGUAGUCUUGGGGACCUCUGUCAAACCUGGCUUGGGUUCUGAAAACUUGGAAUGGGCUGCCUCU